RNAcentral lists this ribosomal RNA (1250 nucleotides) under Euglena stellata. RNAcentral describes it as "partial large subunit ribosomal RNA". It matches the Rfam family "Eukaryotic large subunit ribosomal RNA", at positions 33 to 983 of the family's 3401-position model. The record is from RNAcentral. Lineage: Eukaryota; Euglenozoa; Euglenophyceae; Euglenales; Euglenaceae.
UUUAAGCAUAUCACUCAGUGGAGGAACCGAAAGCAACUGCGACUGCUCUAGUAAUGGCGAAUGAACCAGAUUGAUGACUCAGCCUGAACGAGGUUCCCUAGCAACCCGUGUGCCCCUCCGGGCCAGUGGUUGCGACAGGCUCUCCUGGAAUCCGACCUGUGGGCUAUGGACUGGCUGGCUCUGAUUGGGUGUGGACCACCUGGCACCAGGAAGAGCCCUGGAAUGGGCCACCACUGCGGGAGACUGUCCCAUACGUGCCUGGUAGUGUGCCGUGGUCCCGCUCGGUUGGGCUGGCUGGAUCCCAGAGUAGAGCUGCUUGGUACUGCAGUUUGAAGUGUGAUGUGUAUCCAUCGCAAGGCUACCCUAUGGACCUGGGACCGAUAGAGCACAAGUAGAGUGAUCGAAGGAUGCAAAGAACUCCGCAAAGAGGGUUAAAAGUCCCUGAAGCUGCAGCAGUUACUGUGGUGAGUGGUGCUGUGGAAGAUCCAGGCAGUCUCAGGCACACCCCGGGCUGGCUACAGAGCCCCCACCUCCGGGUGGGGAUGCCCAUCGUAGCAGCUCCUCGCCAGGGUGUCACUCCGUGUGCUGUGGCCUGAUGACUGCCAGCCAGUCAGAGAGAAGAGAUUCCUGUUGCCAACGAGGGCUCGUGUCCCCAUCGGGACCGGCCCUCAGAGAUUCAGUGGGCAAAACCUGGUGGUGUCUCCGGACGCUGCCAGUCGCCAUGGCCUCCCAGUGGCUUGGGGAGGGCGCCUGUGGGGUGGCUGCACCGUUGUGACGGUGGCCUACCCUGCUGGGCCGCCCAACCCUCCGCUGGGGGUCUGGCGUGGAUGUGUGCAGAUGAGCCUGGCCAUCAUUGGCAGUGCCACUCACUGCCCGUCUCGAAACACGGACCAAGGAGUCUAUGGAGCUUGCCAGGGUUGGAUGGCCCAGAUCUGUGCUAGACCCCUCCGGGGCACAGUGAAGGCAAUCGCUUCCCAUCCCAGAUGGUUCAGGGGCACACUCUGUGCCCCCACAGCAGCAUGGGACACCGGGCCUGCAGUCCAGUGGACAGGGUUUUGAGUGCUUGCAAGGUCCAUGGGACCCGAAAGGUGGUGAACUAUCCCGUUCCACAGUGAAGCCAUGGGAAACUGUGGUGGAAGCUGGUCGCUGUUCUGACGUGCAAAUCGUGUAGCCUGAGAGCGGCAUAGGGGUGAAAGGCCAAUCGAGCCACCUAGUAGCUGGUUCCCUUCGAAGUUUCCCUCAGGAUAGCA